AACGAACGCUGGCGGCAGGCUUAACACAUGCAAGUCGAACGGUUGUAGCAAUACAGCAGUGGCAGACGGGUUGAGUAACACGUGGGAACCUUCCUAGGGGUACGGAACAACUCAGGGAAACUUGAGCUAAUACCGUAUACGUCCGUGAGGAGAAAGAUUUAUCGCCCCUAGACGGGCCCGCGUAGGAUUAGGUAGUUGGUGAGGUAACGGCUCACCAAGCCUACGAUCCUUAGCUGAUCUGAGAGGAUGAUCAGCCACACUGGGACUGAGACACGGCCCAGACACCUACGGGUGGCAG
This 298-nucleotide ribosomal RNA is filed under the name uncultured Pseudomonadota bacterium. Its description in RNAcentral is "uncultured proteobacterium partial 16S ribosomal RNA". It matches the Rfam family "Bacterial small subunit ribosomal RNA", at positions 29 to 351 of the family's 1533-position model. Lineage: Bacteria; Pseudomonadati; Pseudomonadota. The record is from RNAcentral.